RNAcentral lists this ribosomal RNA (253 nucleotides) under uncultured bacterium. RNAcentral's name for it is "partial 16S ribosomal RNA". It matches the Rfam family "Bacterial small subunit ribosomal RNA", at positions 524 to 776 of the family's 1533-position model. The record is from RNAcentral.
UACGGGGGGGGCAAGCGUUGUUCGGAAUUACUGGGCGUAAAGGGCCAGUAGGCGGCCAACUAAGUCCGACGUGAAAUCCCCAGGCUUAACCUGGGAACUGCGUCGGAUACUGGAUGGCUUGAAUUCGGGAGAGGGAUGCAGAAUUCCAGGUGUAGCGGUGAAAUGCGUAGAUAUCGGAAGGAACAUCAGUGGCGAAAGCGGCUUCCUGGACCAGUACCGACGUUCAGGCACGAAAGCGUGGGGAGCAAACAGG